This is a long non-coding RNA of Triticum aestivum (bread wheat), 478 nucleotides long. RefSeq lists it as uncharacterized. The transcript has 3 exons. The record is from RefSeq and is a predicted model, not a curated record. NCBI's taxonomy places the organism in Eukaryota, Viridiplantae, Streptophyta, Magnoliopsida, Poales, Poaceae.
UUGGUUUAUUUCCACCUCUUUAAGAAAGUUUUUUGGUUUGUCAAGUCUUGAUAGAGAUGGAUAUCGCGGUACGUUAUCUCGCCCUCUUAGUCUGUCACUACCUUGUCCUUUGAUGCUUGUGCCAUUUGCGUGAGAGGCGGUGUUAGGGUCCGGCUUUUGGUAGAAUGCUUGGGUGCCACUCCUUACCACUGAUAAUUGUGCACAUGACCAUGGCUGCGUAAGGUCUUGGGCGAUAGGGUGUGUGGUUGUGGUCAUUGUCUCUGAUCUUGUUUGUUGUUUUCUUUUGUCUCCAAGGAUCGAUGGUCGCCUUUUUUGUUAGAGGGCGAGAAGAUUAUUACCAAGUUUGAUGGUAUUCGUUUACGAAACACAAAUGAGGAUGACAUUCUCCUAGUGACGAAUUUCCAGUUUCUUUUCAUGAGUAAAGAAACAAAAAGCAAGUUGGGUACCAUCCCUCUUACUACAGUUGAGCAAAUAAAGG